Molecule: ribosomal RNA, 484 nt
Filed under: uncultured bacterium
Lineage: Bacteria
Description: partial 16S ribosomal RNA
Rfam family: Bacterial small subunit ribosomal RNA
Source: RNAcentral
AUUGAACGCUGGCGGCAGGCCUAACACAUGCAAGUCGAGCGGAUGAAGGGAGCUUGCUCCUGGAUUCCGCGGCGGACGGGUGAGUAAUGCCUAGGAAUCUGCCUGGUAGUGGGGGAUAACGUCCGGAAACGGGCGCUAAUACUGCAUACGUCCUGAGGGAGAAAGUGGGGGAUCUUCGGCCCUCACGCUCUCAGCUGAGCCUAGGUCGGAUUAGCUAGUUGGUGGGGUAAAGGCCUACCAAGGCGACGAUCCGUAACUGGUCUGAGAGGAUGAUCAGUCACACUGGAACUGAGACACGGUCCAGACUCCUACGGGAGGCAGCAGUGGGGAAUAUUGGACAAUGGGCGAAAGCCUGAUCCAGCCAUGCCGCGUGUGUGAAGAAGGUCUUCGGAUUGUAAAGCACUUUAAGUUGGGAGGAAGGGCAGUAAGUUAAUACCUUGCUGUUUUGACGUUACCAGCAGAAUAAGCACCGGCUAACUUCGUG